GACGAACGCUGGCGGCGUGCUUAACACAUGCAAGUCGAACGGAAAGGCCCUGCUUUUGUGGGGUGCUCGAGUGGCGAACGGGUGAGUAACACGUGAGUAACCUGCCCUUGACUUUGGGAUAACUUCAGGAAACUGGGGCUAAUACCGGAUAGGAGCUCCUGCUGCAUGGUGGGGGUUGGAAAGUUUCGGCGGUUGGGGAUGGACUCGCGGCUUAUCAGCUUGUUGGUGGGGUAGUGGCUUACCAAGGCUUUGACGGGUAGCCGGCCUGAGAGGGUGACCGGCCACAUUGGGAAUGAGAUACGGCCCAGACUCCUACGGGAGGCAGCAGUAGGAAAUAUUGCACAAUGGGCGGAAGCCUGAUGCAGCAACGCCGCGUGCGGGAUAACGGCCUUCGGGUUGUAAACCGCUUUCGCCUGUGACGAAGCGUGAGUGACGGUAAUGGGUAAAGAAGCACCGGCUAACUACGUG
RNAcentral lists this ribosomal RNA (468 nucleotides) under uncultured bacterium. RNAcentral describes it as "partial 16S ribosomal RNA". It matches the Rfam family "Bacterial small subunit ribosomal RNA", at positions 28 to 507 of the family's 1533-position model. The record is from RNAcentral.